This 480-nucleotide ribosomal RNA is filed under the name uncultured bacterium. RNAcentral describes it as "partial 16S ribosomal RNA". It matches the Rfam family "Bacterial small subunit ribosomal RNA", at positions 28 to 523 of the family's 1533-position model. The record is from RNAcentral.
GACGAACGCUGGCGGCGUGCUUAACACAUGCAAGUCGAGCGAUGAAACACCUUCGGGUGCGGAUUAGCGGCGAACGGGUGAGGAACAUGUGAGGAAUCUGCCUUCCACUCUGGGAUAACUCCGGGAAACCGGGGCUAAUACCGGAUACUUUCAACUGGCGGCAUCGCCGGUUGAAGAAAGUUUUUCGGUGGAAGAUGACCUCGCGGCCUAUCAGCUUGUUGGUGAGGUAAAGGCUCACCAAGGCGACGACGGGUAGCCGGCCUGAGAGGGCGACCGGCCACACUGGGACUGAGACACGGCCCAGACUCCUACGGGAGGAAGCAGUGGGGAAUAUUGGGCAAUGGAGGAACCUCUGACCCAGCGACGCCGCGUGAGGGAUGAAGGCCUUCGGGUUGUAAACCUCUUUCAGCAGGGAAUAAGCGAAAGUGAAGGUACCUGCAGAAGAAGCACCGGCUAACUAUGUGCCAGCCGCCGCCGUAA